CCUACGGGGGGCAGCAGUGGGGGAUAUUGCACAAUGGGGGGAACCCUGAUGCAGCGAAGCCGCGUGGGUGAAGAAGCGCCUCGGCGCGUACAGCCCUGUCAGCAGGGAAGAAAAUGACGGUACCUGAAGAAGAAGCCCCGGCUAACUACGUGCCAGAAGCCGCGGUAAUACGUAGGGGGCAAGCGUUAUCCGGAUUUACUGGGUGUACAGGGGGCGCAGACGGCGAUGCAAGCCAGGAGUGAAAGCCUGGGGCCCAACCCCGGGACUGCUCUGGGAACUGCGUGGCUGGAGUGGAGGAGGGGCAGGCGGAAUUGCGGGUGUAGCGGUGAAAUGCGUAGAUAUCAGGAGGAACACCGGUGGCGAGGCGGCCUGCUGGACUGCAACUGACGUUGAGGCCCGAAAGCGUGGGGAGCAAACAGGAUUAGAUACCCCAGUAGUC
RNAcentral lists this ribosomal RNA (439 nucleotides) under uncultured bacterium. RNAcentral's name for it is "partial 16S ribosomal RNA". It matches the Rfam family "Bacterial small subunit ribosomal RNA", at positions 338 to 795 of the family's 1533-position model. The record is from RNAcentral.